Molecule: ribosomal RNA, 515 nt
Filed under: uncultured bacterium
Lineage: Bacteria
Description: bacterial SSU rRNA
Rfam family: Bacterial small subunit ribosomal RNA
Source: RNAcentral
AGAGUUUGAUCAUGGCUCAGAAUGAACGCUGGCGGCGUGCUUAACACAUGCAAGUCGAACGCGAAAGUCCUUCGGGAUGAGUAAAGUGGCGAACGGGUGCAUAACGCGUAGGAAUCUACCCUUGGGUGAAGGAUACCCUAGAGAAAUUUAGGCUAAUACUGCAUAAGCCGGGAAACCGGGAAAGGUGGCCUCUUGCUACCGCACAAGGAUGAGCCUGCGUACUAUUAGUUAGUUGGUGAGGUAAAGGCUCACCAAGACGAAGAUGGUUAGCUGGCCUGAGAGGGUGUACAGCCACAAUGGGACUGAGAUACGGCCCAUACUCCUACGGGAGGCAGCAGUGGGGAAUAUUGCACAAUGGGCGAAAGCCUGAUGCAGCGACGCCGCGUGGAGGAUGACGGUUUUCGGAUUGUAAACUCCUGUUAAGUGGGAAGAAAGAACACGGGUUAAUACCCCGUGGAUGACGGUACCGCUAGAGAAAGCACCGGCUAACUUCGUGCCAGCAGCCGCGGUAAUAC